UACGAAGGGGGCUAGCGUUGUUCGGAAUUACUGGGCGUAAAGCGCACGUAGGCGGGUCGUUAAGUCAGGGGUGAAAUCCCAGAGCUCAACUCUGGAACUGCCUUUGAUACUGGCGACCUAGAGUUCGGAAGAGGUUAGUGGAAUUCCCAGUGUAGAGGUGAAAUUCGUAGAUAUUGGGAAGAACACCAGUGGCGAAGGCGGCUAACUGGUCCGAUACUGACGCUGAGGUGCGAAAGCGUGGGGAGCAAACAAG
RNAcentral lists this ribosomal RNA (253 nucleotides) under uncultured bacterium. RNAcentral describes it as "partial 16S ribosomal RNA". It matches the Rfam family "Bacterial small subunit ribosomal RNA", at positions 524 to 776 of the family's 1533-position model. The record is from RNAcentral.